This 446-nucleotide ribosomal RNA is filed under the name uncultured bacterium. RNAcentral's name for it is "partial 16S ribosomal RNA". It matches the Rfam family "Bacterial small subunit ribosomal RNA", at positions 338 to 795 of the family's 1533-position model. The record is from RNAcentral.
CCUACGGGUGGCAGCAGUCGAGAAUCAUUCACAAUGGGGGAAACCCUGAUGGUGCGACGCCGCGUGGGGGAAUGAAGGUCUUCGGAUUGUAAACCCCUGUCAUGUGGGAGCAAAUUAAAAAGAUAGUACCACAAGAGGAAGAGACGGCUAACUCUGUGCCAGCAGCCGCGGUAAUACAGAGGUCUCAAGCGUUGUUCGGAAUCACUGGGCGUAAAGCGUGCGUAGGCUGUUUCGUAAGUCGUGUGUGAAAGGCGGGGGCUCAACCCGCGGGCGGCACAUGAUACUGCGAGACUAGAGUAAUGGAGGGGGAACCGGAAUGCUCGGUGUAGCAGUGAAAUGCGUAGAUAUCGAGAGGAACACUCGUGGCGAAGGCGGGUUCCUGGACAUUAACUGACGCUGAGGCACGAAGGCCAGGGGAGCGAAAGGGAUUAGAUACCCUUGUAGUC